GGAUUGUGGCUCAGUGGCAGAGUGCUUGCCCCGUAUGUGCGAGGCACUGGGUUCAAUCCUCAGCAUCA
This 68-nucleotide transfer RNA is filed under the name Marmota monax (woodchuck). RNAcentral's name for it is "tRNA.Thr". Lineage: Eukaryota; Metazoa; Chordata; Mammalia; Rodentia; Sciuridae. The record is from RNAcentral.